CUAGCUGUAAACGAUGGAUACUAGGCGUUGAGAGUAUCGACCCUCUCAGUGUCGUAGCUAACGCGUUAAGUAUCCCGCCUGGGGAGUACGCGCGCAAGUGUGAAACUCAAAGGAAUUGACGGGGGCCCGCACAAGCGGUGGAGUAUGUGGUUUAAUUCGAUGCAACGCGAAGAACCUUACCAGGGCUUGACAUGUCCGGAACCCUGCCCAAAGGCGGGGGUGCCUACGGGAACCGGAACACAGGUGGUGC
RNAcentral lists this ribosomal RNA (250 nucleotides) under uncultured Chroococcidiopsis sp. RNAcentral describes it as "partial 16S ribosomal RNA". It matches the Rfam family "Bacterial small subunit ribosomal RNA", at positions 796 to 1044 of the family's 1533-position model. The record is from RNAcentral. Lineage: Bacteria; Bacillati; Cyanobacteriota; Cyanophyceae; Chroococcidiopsidales; Chroococcidiopsidaceae.